RNAcentral lists this small RNA (455 nucleotides) under Pan troglodytes (chimpanzee). RNAcentral's name for it is "processed transcript". The record is from RNAcentral. Lineage: Eukaryota; Metazoa; Chordata; Mammalia; Primates; Hominidae.
GCUGCGGGCCGGGCGGGGGCCGCGGAAGCUGCGAUGCGGACGGGGCAGCGGCGGUGACCCGAGCUGCCGCCCGACAUGAACUCGCUGGAGCAGGCGGAAGGUAGGGAGGCCGCAGAGGAUGGAGCUAGGGGCCCGGAGCUUGGGGGCGCGUAGGCGGCCGUACCUGGCCAGACGCGGGGGGCGGUGCCUCAGCUCCCUCAGUCCCCACAAGCCUAGAGGGUCGACCUCCUCGCCAGCUUCUAUUUUUAUUUUCUUUUCAUUGGCAGACACUUGCACUUCGUGCAUUGCAGCCUGCUAAUUCAUUUCAUUUCAUUCUCACAGCCCCGCGAGUUGUAUCCCUGAUUCCUGCGGUGGUUUCCGGUAACUGCCAAGGUUAGGAAGUGCUGCUCGGUGUUUUAAAGUUUAAAGCACACCACUGCGGAAAGGAUACCCCACCACUCACUCGGAGCAGCUUA